UACGGGGGGGGCAAGCGUUGUUCGGAAUUACUGGGCGUAAAGGGCUCGUAGGCGGCCAACUAGGUCAGACGUGAAAUCCCCAGGCUCAACCUGGGAACUGCGUCUGAUACUGGAUGGCUUGAAUCCGGGAGAGGGAUGCAGAAUUCCAGGUGUAGCGGUGAAAUGCGCAGAUAUCAGGAGGAACACCGGUGGCGAAGGCGGGUCUCUGGGCCGAUACUGACGCUGAGGAGCGAAAGCGUGGGGAGCGAACAGG
RNAcentral lists this ribosomal RNA (253 nucleotides) under uncultured bacterium. RNAcentral describes it as "partial 16S ribosomal RNA". It matches the Rfam family "Bacterial small subunit ribosomal RNA", at positions 524 to 776 of the family's 1533-position model. The record is from RNAcentral.